This is a long non-coding RNA of Crotalus tigris (Tiger rattlesnake), 1653 nucleotides long. RefSeq lists it as uncharacterized. The record is from RefSeq and is a predicted model, not a curated record. The transcript is spliced from 3 exons. NCBI's taxonomy places the organism in Eukaryota, Metazoa, Chordata, Lepidosauria, Squamata, Viperidae.
CGGGAGGGAGCGGCCACCGCUAAGGUCUAAAACAUCCACUUGCGGCAUCCUCCACCAAUAAGAAAAAGAAUUUGCUCUGACGAAGAACCAGUUUCCGCCAAUGGAGACUCAAGUGGAGGGCGGUGUUUCAAAGGAGGCAUUGUUGGCUGAGAAUUAUGAAAACUGAAUCCAAGACUACAGAAAGCUAUCCUGUAUGCACCAACUGCACACGAGGAAGCCAAACAAUGCUCAGAGGCUGGAUGUAAUGGCACCCUGCCACGUACUAAGCAAUAUGUGCUGCGGUUUUGCAGCUCGAAGCAAACAGUAACUACAAAAAGAGAAGUUUGGUAGUAUUUCCGAUAGGCUGUGUUCUGUUUGGUGGACUUUGCCUCAUGUAGGGCAAAAGCUCUUUCUAGACCUCACAUAGAAAAGCAAAUUAUAGGGAAACAGCAUUAAUGUUAUUUAGUGUAAUUAGGAAAGGCCACUUUGGCAUACUGAAUGCAAACAGGCCUCCCCUUGGGGCUUAUACUGGAGAAUCUUUAACAAAAGUGUUCUUUUGGGGUGCUAAUUAGGCAGGGAAGUUAAAUUGGUGGUAAACAGAAUAAAUAAACCCUAAAGGAUUCCAAUUAAGUAGUGUGGCCAGAAACCCUUUCUUCUGUUAAGUUUGAGAAUCUCUCACUCCCUUGAUUAUUUGACAUUUUUCCGGUUGUCAUGGAAAUCUUCAUGAUUAGAACAAAUAACAGCUUUCUCUUUGGGAAAAAAAAUUAAAACUACUUCAAGAGACCUUUUGUUAAAGAAAAACAUUUUCUGAAAACCAUAUAACAUUUCUACAUGUUACAUUUUAACAUUGAUCUUUGCCCUGUGAUAGGAAUGAUUCAAGUGGCAGUUUUAGAUUAGGAGACUGCAUGUAAAACCUUUCAUUAGGAGAUAUAAAUUUCUUAUAUAUUCAAUAAAGAAUAAGGCAAUUUAUUACAAAGUGGCUUAAUUCACAUGACACACUCAUAGUUAACUUAAUCAUAGGUUUCAGUAUUUCAAUUUUCUGGAUGCACUUGUAAACAUAGAACUACAAACUACUGUAAUACAAAGACUGGGCUUGAAUGAAAUGGCUAGGCUAAAGUAUGGUUGGUUAAUUAUUGGCUCCUAGUACUGUGAAAACUCCAUCAUUAUGUAUGAAUUAACUCAUAAAUUAUGUAUGUACUAUAUUGUGCUUUGUGAAUGGCCACUAUCUGUUCAAAAUUUUCAUUAUCUGCACUUUUGUAUUUAAAUUAUCCUAAUUUCCUUAUACCUCUAAAGCAGUGGUUCUUAACCUUUUUGUGCCUUGGAUCCAUUUGAGAGUCUAGUGAAAUCUACAAACCUCUUCUUAGAAAAAUAUAUUUAAAUUAAAUUAAAAUACAUACAUGUGUAUCGUAUUACCAGUUAUGCUGAGAUACAAUUAUUAAAAUAUUAAAAUAUUUUAAAAUAAUAUCGUAAUAUAUGUGAAAAUGUAGUUGCAAUUUUCCACCCAUCCAAGUUCAUUAACCCCUAAAAUCUAUAAACAGAGGAUAAAUUUCAGGGAGUUAAGAACUUCUGCUGUAAUGUAAUAAAUGGUAAAAUAGUGCUAUAAAGUACUGUGAAAUAGUAUAUAAGUCAAAGUGCUAUUGCUGUUGAUAGUCAUAAAAGUUGAUAUAAAGUGUU